AUGUCAAGUGUCGCCGAGGCAACCUGCAUGUUCAUCCCACUUGAUGAAGACACAUUAGUCUCCAAGCAACUGCAUGCAUUCUGGGAGCUUGAGUCUCUGGGUAUUCUAAGCGAGAAAACACAGAACCCAGAGGAAAACGAGGCUCUACAAAGUUUUGAGGAAACAACCACCUUCAAAGAUGGGCGAUACCAUGUGGAGUUGCCAUGGAAACGAGAAAUGCCAGAACUCCAAGACAACUAUAGAAUCGCCAAGAAACGGUUUGAAGGUCUGAAGAAAAGGCUGAAGAAGGAUGUGACGUUGUACAGCAGAUACAAUGAAGUAGUAGAAGACUACUUACAACAAGAUAUGGCAGAGGACGUGCCCAAGGACAACGCAUCAAGUGCAGACAACGUAAAAUACUACUUACCUCACCAUGCAGUACUCCGAGAAGAUAAGGUGACAACAAAACUGAGAGUGGUGUUUGAUGCCUCGUCCCAUGAAGAUGGCUGUCCAUCCCUCAAUGACUGUCUACUCACAGGACCGAACCUGAAUCCGGAUCUGCUCAGCGUUCUGAUAAAGUUCAGACUACAUGAGAUCGCAGACAUCAAGAAAUCUUUCCUGCAGAUAUCCCUAGCAGAGAGAGACAGAGACGCCGUGAGAUUUCUAUGGCUCACAGGCCCACCAAGGGGAGAAAAUGAAGAGGAGCUGCGUGUGCUGAGGAUGAAAAGAGUGGUAUUUGGAGCUUCCCCAAGUCCAUUGUUGCUGGCAGCUACAAUCAGGAAGCACCUGAAACAAUAUGAAACAGAACAACCAGAAGUUGUAGAGAUACUGAGAGAGUCACUCUACGUAGAUGAAUUCAUUGCAAGAUCACGCAAUGUUGAAGAGGCUUACCUUGUGACAACAACUGCAAAGCGAAUGCUGUCGAUUGCAGGCAUGGACCUCUGCAAAUGGAUGACCAAUUCUCCUGAAUUGAAAACAAAAUGGGAGGAGAGUACGACAACUGACCACCCGUUGACGUUACAAACACAAGGAUUAGUGCUGAAGGUUUUAGGUUUAGUAUGGAGGCCGGAAACGGAUGACUUUGUGUUUGACCUCAGACCGCUACUGAGCAUUCUAAAGCAAAAGGAAAACACAAAGAGAAGUGUUCUGCAGUCGUCUGCACGUAUCUUCGACCCUCUUGGUUUCUUAGCUCCCUUCACCAUCAGGAUCAAGUGCAUGUUCCAGGAAAUGUGGGAGACGCGACUCAGCUGGGACGAAGAAUUACCACCUGAUCUGACACGAGAAUGGCAACAGUGGUGUUCAGAACUACCGCAGUUACACCAGCUCACCAUACCAAGGUGGUACAGAACAGACAUGCGGCCACAGAAUAACCACACCCUGAAACUACACGUGUUCUGUGAUGCAAGUGAAAGGGCUUACAGUGCAUAG
Oncorhynchus mykiss (rainbow trout) is the source of this 1407-nucleotide long non-coding RNA. The record is from Ensembl. NCBI's taxonomy places the organism in Eukaryota, Metazoa, Chordata, Actinopteri, Salmoniformes, Salmonidae.